Molecule: ribosomal RNA, 253 nt
Filed under: uncultured bacterium
Lineage: Bacteria
Description: partial 16S ribosomal RNA
Rfam family: Bacterial small subunit ribosomal RNA
Source: RNAcentral
UACGUAGGGUGCGAGCGUUGUCCGGAAUUAUUGGGCGUAAAGGGCUCGUAGGCGGUCUGUUGCGUCGGGAGUGAAAACUCAGGGCUUAACCCUGAGCCUGCUUCCGAUACGGGCAGACUAGAGGUAUGCAGGGGAGAACGGAAUUCCUGGUGUAGCGGUGAAAUGCGCAGAUAUCAGGAGGAACACCGGUGGCGAAGGCGGGUCUCUGGGCCGAUACUGACGCUGAGGCGCGAAAGCGUGGGGAGCAAACAGG